RNAcentral lists this ribosomal RNA (253 nucleotides) under uncultured bacterium. RNAcentral's name for it is "partial 16S ribosomal RNA". It matches the Rfam family "Bacterial small subunit ribosomal RNA", at positions 524 to 776 of the family's 1533-position model. The record is from RNAcentral.
UACAGGGGGUGCAACCGUUGCUCGGAAUUAUUGGGCGUAAAGCGCGCGUAGGCGGCUACUUAAGUCGGAUGUGAAAGCCCUUGGCUCAACUGAGGAAGUGCACCCGAAACUGAGUGGCUUGAGUACUAAAGAGGGUCGCGGAAUUCCCGGUGUAGAGGUGAAAUUCGUAGAUAUCGGGAGGAACACCGGUGGCGAAGGCGGUUCUCUGGGCCUGACCUGACGCUGAGGAGCGAAAGCGUGGGGAGCGAACAGG